RNAcentral lists this long non-coding RNA (257 nucleotides) under Prunus dulcis (almond). RNAcentral describes it as "sRNA ncRNA". The record is from RNAcentral. Lineage: Eukaryota; Viridiplantae; Streptophyta; Magnoliopsida; Rosales; Rosaceae.
AUUGGAUUGCGGCAUGUUCGUCAUGUUCUAUAUGGAUAAAAUAGCACAAGGACAGCCCAUUCCAAAAAGCGUGGACAAGAAAUUCAUGAAUGAAUAUCGAGCACAAUAUGUCACAAAACUCCUACACCACAAAAACUGUGUAAUUAAUCCUCUCUAGUGAUUUGCCUUUCGUUAACUCAAGACAAUAUGUAUCUUAAUUCUUGUGGAUGUUUGUAAAUAUUUCUAGUUAUGGUAUAUGAGAACAUAUUUCCUAUACA